ACACCGGCAUCAUCAUUUUGGCUGAGGGCCGUCUCAUGAACUUGGGUUGUGCCACUGGACACCCCAGCUUUGUGAUGUCCUGUUCUUUCACCAACCAAGUGAUUGCCCAGCUCGAGUUGUGGAAUGAGAGGAAGUCCGGCAAGUAUGAGAAGAAGGUGUAUGUUUUGCCAAAGCACCUUGAUGAGAAGGUCGCUGCCCUUCAUCUUGGCAAGCUUGGAGCUAAGCUCACCAAGCUCACCAAGGAACAGGCUGACUACAUCAGCGUGCCAGUUGAGGGUCCAUACAAGCCAGCUCACUACAGGUACUGAGAGGAGGAGAAGAUUGUCAAGGACAAGAGACAUGAGAAAAAAAUAUAUAUUUGGACGGGUUGUUUUUAAUUUGUUUAUUUUACAUUUUGAU
RNAcentral lists this long non-coding RNA (399 nucleotides) under Prunus persica (peach). RNAcentral describes it as "long non-coding RNA (PPER_LNC000439)". Lineage: Eukaryota; Viridiplantae; Streptophyta; Magnoliopsida; Rosales; Rosaceae. The record is from RNAcentral.